AAUAUACGCCAGUAAUAUCCAUUUACAUUUUUCGCCAAAACCCUAGCAUUUGCCUUAACACAUUUUUAUCGCCUCACACUCUCUGUUUUCACUUAGUUUUUGAUUCUUCACUUUCAUUACUUCAAACUCUCGCAGCGAUGAGACCUCCAAGAGGGGCAGAGGUGAUGGUGGAAGAGGGAGAGGAAGAGGAGGUGGUGGAAGAGGUGGUGAUAGGGGCGGUAGUGCCAUGAAAUCCAGCGGCAGACUGGUGUUUGAUUGUUUCUGUUUUCUUAUAGUUCGAUGGAACAAAAAGAUUCUCCAACUUUAGUUGACAAAAACUUUCCUCUUUCCUCUUUUCUCUUGUCACUGUGAAAUCAUUCUUUCGCUAGAUCCAUAGAAGUUGUUUAUUAACUAGAACUUGGUUUUCUGUAUUCUUGUUUACAAUUAUGGCUAUCGGUUCUUGCUGUAAUGUUAUAGAGGAAAAAGGGUUCCAAGUUCCAACACCAGAAGUCCAAUGUUGCUGUUGUUGAUUUGUGGAGGAGUGGGAGAAAAUAUGAUGAUUAGCACUCCGUCUACACUUAAACAACAGCUUUUCUAAUUAUGUUGGAAAUGGCAAUGGCAAUGACAAGGAAAAUGUUGCUGGGGUUUUGGAGACCAAUGGGGAUCUUAAACCCAAAUUCCAAGGGGAAAAACGAGCUAUACAGAGAAUUGGGAGAACCCUGUCAUGUUGGAUGCUCCCGUCUCUAGAGGUGUUGUAGCUGCUGAAGCUGGUUCACUUACUUUCAUGGUUGGUGGCUCUGAAGAUGUGUAUCUUGCUGCCAAAUCCUUACUCCUCUCGAUGGGAAAAGAGGAACUGCAAGAGGCUAUUGAUUUUAUAUCUCUGUUCGGGUAAAGUGGGCUUUGUGCUUCAGUCAGAGCUGCCUUGGUUCUUAGUGGUAGUAUGGGUUCUAUCUAAUUCAAAAAUGAGAAAGAAAAGGAAAGAAUGGGCAGAUAAUGUAUCUUUCAAAAUGAUGAAAGUGCCACAGUAGAGUCAAAACUAAGAGUGUUUUGUUUCAAGAUUCAGUUCCGAACUCAGGUUUCUGAAUUUAAAAGGAGCUUAAAUACUGUAAAUUCUGCAUGUAAUGAGGUACGAAAUUUCCUUAAAUUGAAGGAUCUCAUGAAGAAAAUUCUCUAUCUGGGAAAUACAUUGAACCAAGGAACUGCAAGGGGUUUGAGUUUUUGUUGGAUACAUGGUCCAGGAUUAGCUGAAUUCAUGCAUAGUGACGACUUGUUUAAGCUAACUACUUAUCUUAAAGUGUGCAUUCUAUCAUUAUUUUGUUCUAUUUGUAUUUUGUUAGAUUUCUGGUGUAGUAUGAUAAGUGCGGUAUUUUGUUUGGCGGGAUGUAUUUAUAUCAUAGAUUAUUCUUCUUCUCAAUAUUUUGAUAAUGAAUUUUAAUUUUUUUAUA
This is a long non-coding RNA of Gossypium arboreum, 1424 nucleotides long. RefSeq lists it as uncharacterized. NCBI's taxonomy places the organism in Eukaryota, Viridiplantae, Streptophyta, Magnoliopsida, Malvales, Malvaceae. The record is from RefSeq and is a predicted model, not a curated record. The transcript has 9 exons.